UAUCCUCCGAAGUGGUUCCGAGUAAAGAUGUAUUGUACUGACCAGCAGUGUAAGCAAGCAUGCUUGCCCCCUCCUUCCUACCAGAAGAUUGUUGGGACUCAAGAUAUAUCAGGAUGUGGACCACGAUACAGAUGCCAGAGAGGACAGUCCUACACACCCCAAUGUAUAUCACCAUGCCCUCCCCAGCAGAGACACUCCUAUGUACCAGUAUCCCCACAGUCAUGUUCUCCCCAGAGGCAACCUUCGUAUCCUUUGCAACACCGUCCAACCUUUGUGCCUAAAUGGAUCCAACCAUCAUGUCCUCUGCAGCACCGUCCAGCCUUUGCACCAGACUGCAUACAACCACCACGUCCUCUGCAAUGCCGUUCAUCCUUUUCACCCGACAGCAUCCAACCAGUACCUCCACUGCAACGUCGUUCAUCCUUUUCACCGGACACCAUCCAACCAGUACCUCCUCUGCAAAGCCGUCCGUCCUUUGCACCUGACUGCAUACAACCACCAAGCCCUAUCCAGAACCAACCACUGCUUGCACCAGACCAUCUACAACCAGCAUCGCCUCCCCACAGCGUCAGCCACCAUGUUCCUCAGAUACCCUACAACCAUCGUAUCCUCCCCAGAGAAAGCCAUCCUUUACACCAUCAUAUCCUCCCCAGAGUCAGCCACCAUGUUCCUCAGAUACCCUACAACCAUUGUAUCCUCCCCAGAGAAAGCCAUCCUUUACACCAUCAUAUCCUCCCCAGAGACGGCCAUCCUUUACACCAUCAUAUCCUCCCCAGAGUCAGCCUCCAUGUUCCUCAGAUACCCUACAACCAUCAUAUCCUCCCCAGAGAAGACCAUCCUAUACACCACCAUGGAUCCAGCCAUGCUCUUCACAGGGCGAAGCAUCCUAUGAACCUCCUUGCCCAAGGCCCUCUUUUCCUGAAAGACCACUGUCCCCUCCACAGAGCAUUCUUCAGCCAUAUGCUUCACCACAGAAGUACCAGUACACCCAGAAGCCAUGUUGCCCCCCAUGCAAGUCCGUGUGUUUUGGUUCCCAGCAGACACGCAUGCCCCAAGCUGUGCAAACAUGUGCUCCUAAAGGGAAAUGUGUAUCUCAAGGUUUUCUGGGAUCUCAAUGUUCACAAGGUGCCAUCAAGGGAAACCAACAAGGUGUGAUCAAAGGUGGACAACAGUAUGGGAGUCAACAAUGCAUUAAGAAGGGAGGGCCAGUAGGUAUAACCAAGAGUGUGCAACAGUGUGCAUGCCAACCGGGUAUCAUGAAAGGAGGACUCUGUGGCCAGCAAUAUGGCAGCCAACCAUUCAUAACCAAGGGAGUUUCAGCAGGGAAAGCUAUGGCAAUUCAACAGGGUGCGAGUCAAGCGUAUGUGACAAAGGGAGGUCCAGGAUUUGCAGUCAAGAGUAGUCCACAGUGGUCAAGUCAACCAUGCAUCUCAAAGGGAGGACCCAUGUAUGCUACAAAGGGCAGUCAAGGGUAUAUAAGAAAGGGGACUAAGUGGUAAACACGGUGAAGAUAUCUGCCAGAUAUAAUGUUGAGCUGGUCACUGGACUUACUAAACAAGUGGAGAAGACUGGGAACAUCUUCAUCAGUUCGUCCAUAAACUUCUCCACAAAUGCAUUUGUAAUUACUAGACAUGUCCAAACAAUCGUUUUGAAUCGUAUAUCGGAAUUAUUUCAGAUUGUUCUCGCUUUUUGAUACGCAUUCCGAGACAUUGUCUCACAGCGCAACCAGCAAUGUAAUUCGAACCAUUGAUGGCCCAUUCUCUAAUUGUCUCUUAAUGUUUCAUUAUUUCUGCCCCCCCCAUUUUUUUUAAAAUAUGUUUUUAAAAAUAUUUUUAAAAAAAAUUGUUUCUGCAACCUACCUUGAAUGGGAGCUUAGUGCAGCCUAACAUGGCUGACGCUCCUCGGCCAAUCAGAAGCUUCCACGAUGGACGCAAAGGUGGGGGCUAACGUCCUCUGCGUCCACAUGGAAGACUGCCAUACAAGCCCGGUGUGUAGCGAUUGCGCAUGCGCGUCCGCCAUUUUAGAAACAUUUAGAAUCAUUACGAAUUUUCGGAAAUAUCCGAAAUUUUGGGGUGAAAAAAUCGGAAAUACUUUCUAUAUCGAAGUGCCAGCGCCCCCUACUUUAGAAACGAGAAUUGAAACUUUUUUUCAUCGAUCGGACAUGCCUAGUAAUUACUAUAAUCAAGACUAAAUCUAGGGACGAGAUACAAGUCCAGAGGCUAAAGAGGAAUUGGGUCCUCUUUGAUAUCUGGUUGACUUCAAUUUUGUGAAGAAAUUGAAUCUUAACUUCCAUUUUGAAUGAUGAACUAGGUCCUGGUUUUCUAGGUGUUUUGGACUUAAUCUCUCAGAAUUCCAGAUCACUGGCCAAAGGAACAAAGGUUUCUGGGAACUGAAGUCCAAAACACCCAGAGAAUUAAUGUUUGGAUAUCACCGAUUUAGAUAAUAGUCUUCAACACUGAACAUCAACAUUGACAUGUAACCUGAGGUUUGCUUCAAUGUUCACGUUAAUGUAUUAAACGCAAGUUGGGUUGGGUUGAGUUGGAAGGGUGAUGUGGAGCAAUUGCUAAGAUAACAUUUGGUCAUUUCAUCAGGAUACUGCAUAAAUCUCCUUUAAACUAUUUUAUAGAAUUACAUAUCUCACAAUAUUUAUUAUUAUUAUUAUUAUUAUUAUUAUUAUUAUUAUUAUUAUUAUUAUUAUUAUUAUUUAUUACAGUCAGGCCUCCACAUUUACAGGUUUCGCUUUGGCGGACUUUAUUAUCGGCGGAUCUGAUGAAUAAGUUCUCUUUAGUAAUCUCGCAGUUCAACUUCCACUGGUUCAGCUUUGUUUCAUGCACAAAAUAAAUAAAAUAUUGUUAUCAAAUGACUCCCAGGCUACUGUGUAUAAGCUGGUUACGAAACAUAAAUGAAUUCUGUGUUGAGGCUUGGGUCCCAUCUUCAAGAUAACUCAUGAUGCACGUAUGUACAAACACUGUUACGACAGAAUUUGAAAAAAAUUAAAAUCCUAAACACUUCUGUCCCAAACAUUUCAGAUAAGGGGGGAGACUCAAAAUGGAUUUCUUGAUUGAAAAAAGUCAAGAAAGCGAAAAGUCAAUGCCCUUCUUUCCUUAACAGUAUUCUGGUCAUUCAAUUGAUCAAUUUUUGUUGUGUCAGGCUGAUAGAAAUGUCACUGGUCUGACCAACAUUUCCAAAAUGGACGCCAUUCAUCUGAAGCUGGAUUUCCAAGGCCAACUAUCUGCUAGUUUCCAUGAUUUUUCUCCUAAUUCCCAUGAUUCUUCUCCUAGUUCCUACAAGUCUUCUCUAGUUCCUACAAUUCUUCUUUAGUUCCUAUGUUUCUUCUUGUGUCCACGGUUCUUCUCCUAGUUCCCAUGAUUUCUCUCCUAGUUCCCAUAAGUCUUCUCUAGUUUUUAUGAUUCUUCUUGGCUCCUAUGAGUCUUCAAGUGCCUACAAUUCUUCUCCUGGUUCCUACAAGUCUUCUGUACUUACAAUUCUUCUUUAGAUCCUAUGAUUCUUCUCAUGUCUACGAUUCUUCUCCUAGUUCCCAUGAUUUCUCUCCUAGUUCCUAUAAGUCUUCUCUAGUUCUUACAAUUCUUCUUGGUUUCUGUGAGUCUUCAAGUGGCUAUGAUUCUUCUCCUAGUUACUACAAGUCUUAUCUAGUGCCUACAAUUCCUUUUUAGUUCCUAUGAUUUUUCUCCUGUCUAUGAUUCUUCUCCCAGUUCCCAUGAUUCUCAUCCUAGUUCCUUCAGGUUUUCUCUAGUUCUUACAAUUCUUCUUGGUUUCUGUGAGUCUUCAAGUGCCUAUGAUUCUUCUCCUAGUUACUACAAGUCUUCUCUAGUUCCUACAAUUCUUAUUUAGUUCCUAUGAUUUUUCUCCUGUUUACGAUUCUUCUCCCAGUUCCCAUGAUUCUCCUCCUAGUUCCUUCAGGUUUUUUCUAGUUCUUACAAUUCUUCUUGGUUUCUGUGAGUCUUCAAGUGCCUAUGAUUCUUCUCCUAGUUACUACCAGUCUUCUCUAGUUCCUACAAUUCGUCUUUAGCUCCUAUGAUUUUUCUCCUGUCUACGAUUCUUCUCCCAGUUCCUACAAGUCUUCUCUAGUUCCUAUUAUUCUCCUCCUAGUCCCUAUUCUUCUUCUUCUAAUUCCUACCAUUCUUCUCUAGUUCCUAUGAUUCUUCUCCCAGUCUCUUCUCUUAAAUCAUCAUGGAUAGAGUAGAAAAAGCAGGGAGAGUGGUUUGGUUCUUGGGCAAACCGGUUUCUAGAACGAGACUUAAUGAAAGGCCAACACCACACUUAUGUUUACUCUCUUCUUCCAGGGCUGUUUUCGCCCCUCCAUCAAAGUCAAGGGUUUGGUUGCUUCCGAUUUGGGGUUGAGAUUUCCAUCAAGCGGACCUCCAUGGUGCUUGUUUUCUUCAGCUUCUUCAUUAAAAAGGGAGGGAAAGGCAUUGACAACACCCUCGCAAUAUCCCUAGGCUUGGCACGUAGUACACCGGGUUGCAAUUUAGCUGGGCUCAAACUAAAUCACGAGGACAAGAAAUGGCUACAGGGCUUUGAUGUUCCUCAGGGACGGAGGAAACCAGGAGGACAUGCGGUCAGGAGAAAAGGAAACGGAGACAUGAUUAAAGUUGAGUGGAAAUACAAGAAGGGUGGGUGGAUGUGGCAACCACACCUUACGGAGUAUAAAACUAGCCUUAAACUCUGCAGCUGAGGUGGUUUUGAUUUGGGGCAGAUAUGGAGCACGGGAGAAUGGCUCAGGGAUCUUCACGUCACAAGGGGUUUGGUAGUUGGUUUUCUGAUGUUAAAUCCCUUCCUGGGGUGCAUAUACAUUGUAGAGUUUACUCACUUGGACACUGCCUGAAUUUCUAUGGUUCAAUGAAUUCGAGUUUUGCAAGUUUUAACAUUCUCUUGCAAAGAGUGCUGGUGCCACAGUAAACUAUUGAAACAUGCUAUUAAAAUAGUGGCAAACUGGCUUGAUUCUACAGUGUAGAUCAGUGGUUCCCAACCUGUGGUCUGUGGACCACCAGUGGUCCCCAAGAACUAAAAUAUAGUCCGUGGCCUGACCAUGACUAUCCUCUUAUAGUGCUGAAGUAAAGGGGAUGUUGAGAGGGGAGAGGCUAACUACCCAUGAAAGGCAUGACAACAAGCCUCCUGACUGCUGUUUCUCCCCCUCCUCCUCCCUCCCCCUGAGCGGAGCUGUUC
This 5187-nucleotide long non-coding RNA is filed under the name Anolis carolinensis (green anole). Its description in RNAcentral is "lncRNA (ENSACAG00000036005.1)". The record is from RNAcentral. Lineage: Eukaryota; Metazoa; Chordata; Lepidosauria; Squamata; Anolidae.